AGCGAACGCUAGCGGCGGGCUUAACACAUGCAAGUCGAGCGCCUUACUUCGGUAAGGAGCGGCGGACGGGUGAGUAACACGUAGGUUAUCUGCCCCGGGGGUGAGGGACAACUGAGGGAAACCUCAGCUAAUACCACAUAUGGCCUACGGGUCCAAAGGCUUCGGCCGCCCUGGGAUGAGCCUGCGUCCCAUUAUUUAAUCCUAGUUGGUGGGGUAAUGGCCUACCAAGGGUACGAUGGGUAGCUGGUUUGAGAGAAUGAGUCAGCCACACUGGAACUGAGACACGGUCCAGACUCCUACGGGAGGCAGCAGUGGGGAAUACUUGCGCAAUGGGCGAAAGCCUGACGCAGCCACGCCGCGUCGAGUGAUGAAGGCCCGAGGGUCGUAAAGCUCUGUC
Molecule: ribosomal RNA, 397 nt
Filed under: uncultured bacterium
Lineage: Bacteria
Description: bacterial SSU rRNA
Rfam family: Bacterial small subunit ribosomal RNA
Source: RNAcentral